AAAGUCGUAACAAGGUUUCCGUAGGUGAACCUGCGGAAGGAUCAUUAUUGAAUGAACUUGACUUGGUUGCUGCUGGCCUUUUCGGAGGCAUGUGCACGCCUUGUCAUCUUUAUAUCUCCACCUGUGCACCUUUUGUAGACCUGGUAUCAAUUUUCCGAGGCAACUCGGUCGUGAGGAAUUGCUUUAAUCGGCUUUCCUUGUAAGAUUCCAGGCCUAUGUUUUCAUAUACACCAUAAGAAUGUAACAGAAUGUCAUUAUUAGACUUUAUUGUCUUAUAAACUAUAUACAACUUUCAGCAACGGAUCUCUUGGCUCUC
RNAcentral lists this unclassified non-coding RNA (316 nucleotides) under Basidiomycota sp. RNAcentral describes it as "partial contains small subunit ribosomal RNA, internal transcribed spacer 1, and 5.8S ribosomal RNA". The stretch from base 1 to 47 matches the Rfam family "Eukaryotic small subunit ribosomal RNA", at positions 1785 to 1831 of the family's 1831-position model. The record is from RNAcentral. Lineage: Eukaryota; Fungi; Basidiomycota.